This 234-nucleotide ribosomal RNA is filed under the name uncultured bacterium. RNAcentral describes it as "partial 16S ribosomal RNA". It matches the Rfam family "Bacterial small subunit ribosomal RNA", at positions 796 to 1041 of the family's 1533-position model. The record is from RNAcentral.
CACGCCGUAAACGAUGAGAACUAGGUGUAGGGCCAAACCCUGUGCCGAAGCUAACGCAUUAAGUUCUCCGCCUGGGGAGUACGUUCGCAAGAAUGAAACUUAAAGGAAUUGACGGGGGCCCGCACAAGCAGUGGAGCAUGUGGUUUAAUUCGAUGCUACGCGAAGAACCUUACCAGGGCUUGACAUAGUGUCUAAGACUCUAGAGAUAGAGGGAUAAUAGGUACAUACAGGUGG